CAAACAUACACGGAAAUGAUUACCGGAAUAUUAUUUUUGGGAUGUGUGUUUAAAAUUUCAACUCACUAAUGUUGCUAAACAUUAUUUUUGUGACCAUGUUUGGAUAAACAAAUUAUUUUGCAGCUUAUAGCAUAAGUGCUUGUUCCUUGCUUGCUAUAGGAUUCUGAUGAUUACCAGAAUUUUAUUUUUGAGAUGUGUGUUUAAAAUUGCCACUUGCCUGUUCAAAAAAAAAUUGCCACUCACUAAUCUUGCCGAACUUUUAUGAUUGUGACCCUGUUUGGAUAAAUAACUUAUGGUGUAGCUUAUAGUAUAAGCGCUUAUCAUAUAAACACUUAUGAAUAAGCUGUUUUUGUAACAAUAUAAAAUAAAGUUAAAUUGGUUUGAUAUAAUCUACUACAUGUUUUCAUAAGCUAUCCUUGAGAGCUUAUGAAAAUAUGCUGAAAAACAACUUAUAAACAUCGGAACAUGUCAUAAGCUGUUUUUUUAGUAAGUUCUUCCAAACAUUGUCACAAGUUCUGAUGCCAGUAAAUAAACUUAAAUAAGUCAAUGCAAAUUGGUCAUGUAUAUGAUAUAAAUGGAAUCUUAACUUUAAAUCAUGGGAGACUCAUGUCCUAUGUUCAUCUUGUUAUUUUAAUUUUAUAAUUUCAACGUGGUAGUGUAAGGAUUUCCCUUAUACUUAAUUGGAGUUAUUGAAGCAUGCUAUUUGCUAAUUGAUGUAAAGCUUUUUAUAUGAACUGCCCACAUCUGCUCAUCUGACGCUGCUUAAAGUACAGACUACACAAUACAAAUUGUUUGGGAUAAUCUUGUUCUGUGUGGAAGAUGUCUUAUUGCUGUUAUUCUCUGUACCCUAAAGUCUUAAUAAUAUUUUUUCCUUUCUAAGAUGCAGUUUAUGUUUGAUAUAACAAUGUUACCAUGAUUUUGACAAACCCACCGUGUUACCAAACGUACACACAUUAUUUCGUGAGUAUUAUUUUUGGUAUGUGUUUACUGUUCAUCCUGGGUGAAAUUGCAACUUACUAAUUUUGCUAAACUUUUAUGAUUGUAUUUGAUACAAAAGAAUCAUAACUUUAAGUCAUGGAAGAUCCCAUCCCGUGUCGAUCUAGUUAUUUUCAUUUUAUAACUUCUUUUGAAAAUAAUGAUGUUAAAUGGACACAGAUGAAGAUGAUUGACAAAAAUAUGGCACCCUUUGUAUUUUAGUAAUCCGUGUAAGCGUGUUAUAGGAUGAAAAAGUGAGAUAGAGCUAUACCUUGUCAUCUACGGUGUCUAAAAUUUUGUGUUUAAAUAACUCAACUCUUUGAAAAUAAUGUCAUCACCUGUGAUUCUAGAUUUUUCUAUGGUUUGAAAAGAAAUUGGUGAAAAUUUAUUAUGUUUGUGACUGGUUCACUCCGGUAUUUGGCUAUUAUUUGGGUUCUCUUGUGUGAGAUGUUUGUGCAUGUAAUUGUGCAAUUUCAACAUGAUAGUGCAAGGAUUUCCCUUUUACUUAGUUGAAGUUAUUAAAGCAUGCUAUUUGCUAAUUGAUUGUGGUAAAACAUUUUUUAUUAACUGCCCACAUUUGCUAACCAGACACUGCUUAGAGUACAGACUACACAAUACACAUUUAUUGGGAUAAUUUUGUUUAGUGUGAAGGAUGUUCUAUUACCGUUAUUUUCUCGUACACACACUUGCUUCUCUUCUAUAAAAAAAAAAAAACUUAUAUUGGAAUGGUUAGCAUACUUGUUAAUGUGUUUUAACUCUGGCUUUUUACCUCUAGGGUGUCCUCAUAUUUUCAUUGUCAGAGUACUAUGUAUAUUUUACAGGUUUAGGAUUUACUUAUUAGUUAUUUUCUUGGUGG
RNAcentral lists this long non-coding RNA (1831 nucleotides) under Medicago truncatula (barrel medic). RNAcentral's name for it is "long non-coding RNA (MTRU_LNC003679)". Lineage: Eukaryota; Viridiplantae; Streptophyta; Magnoliopsida; Fabales; Fabaceae. The record is from RNAcentral.